GACGAACGCUGGCGGCGUGCUUAACACAUGCAAGUCGAACGGAAAGGCCUGCUUUCCCUUGUGGAUUGCGGGUACUCGAGUGGCGAACGGGUGAGUAACACGUGAGUGAUCUGCCCCCAACUUGGGUAUAAGCCUGGGAAACUGGGUCUAAUUCCCGAUAGGACUGCAGGGUGGUGCCGGUGGGGGAAAACGAUUUUCUAGUGGUUGGGGUUGAGCUCGCGGCCUAUCAGCUUGUUGGUGGGGUAAUGGCCUACCAAGGCGGCGACGGGUAGCCGGCCUGAGAGGGUGGACGGCCACAUUGGGACUGAGAUACGGCCCAGACUCCUACGGGAGGCAGCAGUGGGGAAUAUUGCACAAUGGGCGGAAGCCUGAUGCAGCGACGCCGCGUGGGGGAUGACGGCCUUCGGGUUGUAAACUCCUUUCGACCGCGAGGAAGCCACCUGGUUGGAAGGGUGGUGACGGUAGUGGUAGAAGAAGCACCGGCUAACUACGUG
This 494-nucleotide ribosomal RNA is filed under the name uncultured bacterium. RNAcentral describes it as "partial 16S ribosomal RNA". It matches the Rfam family "Bacterial small subunit ribosomal RNA", at positions 28 to 507 of the family's 1533-position model. The record is from RNAcentral.